GCUUACGACCACACUACGUUGAAAGCACGACAUCUCGUCCGAUCUGUCAAAUUAAGCAACGUUAGGCCUUGUUAGUACUUGGAUCGGAGGCGGCCUGGGAUUACAUGAUGAUAAACA
Non-coding RNA from Loa loa (African eye worm), 117 nucleotides. The record is from Rfam. Lineage: Eukaryota; Metazoa; Nematoda; Chromadorea; Rhabditida; Onchocercidae.